AUUGAACGCUGGUGGCAUGCUUUACACAUGCAAGUCGAACGGUAACAGGUUAAGCUGACGAGUGGCGAACGGGUGAGUAAUGCAUCGGAACGUGCCCGAUCGUGGGGGAUAACGCAGCGAAAGCUGCGCUAAUACCGCAUACGAUCUGAGGAUGAGAGCGGGGGACCGUAAGGCCUCGCGCGAUCGGAGCGGCCGAUGUCAGAUUAGGUAGUUGGGGGGGUAAAGGCCCACCAAGCCGACGAUCUGUAGCUGGUCUGAGAGGACGACCAGCCACACUGGGACUGAGACACGGCCCAGACUCCUACGGGAGGCAGCAGUGGGGAAUUUUGGACAAUGGGCGAAAGCCUGAUCCAGCAAUGCCGCGUGCAGGAAGAAGGCCUUCGGGUUGUAAACUGCUUUUGUACGGAGCGAAAAGGUCCUUUCUAAUACAAGGGGCUCAUGACGGUACCGUAAGAAUAAGCACCGGCUAACUACGUGCCAGCCGCCGCCGUAA
Molecule: ribosomal RNA, 493 nt
Filed under: uncultured bacterium
Lineage: Bacteria
Description: partial 16S ribosomal RNA
Rfam family: Bacterial small subunit ribosomal RNA
Source: RNAcentral